GGCAUGUUUUACAUCAGACAUUUUAAAUCUGUUUACCAAGAAAGACCAGGAUUUUAACUAUAUGUAGGUUUCUACUUACAGUUGCAAUCUAUCAGAAGCCUGUCUAUAUGAUUAGAGCCCAGAUACAUCUGAAGUUUAGAAAAGCAAGCCAUUUUUCUCCUUAGGCUGUUUUAGUGGCACUUUUGUGACAGGAAGGGCUCUCCUAAUCCUUUAGUACACAACUUAACCAGAUCUAUCAGUCAUGAUAAAUUAGACUGAUAUAUCUAAUCUAUCAGUCCAUCUUUCAAUCCAGUUACUCUGGUUCUGAACCUAUAAACACAAAACACUACAGAUUUAUUAAUAUAGCAUUUUCCAACACCCUAACCCUAUAUAGAACUUUAAAAGAGAAAAUUUCAUCUAAAUAUUUCACACCUGAGAAAGCCUUACUAACCACGGCAACAGGUUUGGACCACAAAACAAUACUUUCUUAGAUGAUAUAUAGAGUCAACAUGAAGCUUAGCAAGAAUGAAUUAUUCAGGGCUGGGCGCGGUGGCUCACUAUUAUUCUUUCGUGCUUGUCUUAAAGUUGUACAUAUGCUUAGAAAAAUGUUGGUAGGAUAGUAACUCUUCACUGGUGGGAUCAGGGAUGACUUUUGUUUUCAUUUUGCUUGUCUUUUUCUUUAAUGAGUAUGUAUUACUUGUGUAAUAGAUGAAGUCAAGCAGGAAGAAGGGUAGACAUGGUAUUUGAGAUAGAGCAUUGGAGGUGUUUGUUUGAGAUGGAGUCUCACUGUCACCCAAGGUGAAGUGCAGUGGCACAAUCUCGGCUCACUGCAACCUCUGCCUCCCGGGUUCAAGCAAUUCUCCUGCCUCAGCCUUCCCAGCAGCUGGGAUUACAGGCAUCUGCCACCACACCCAGAUAAUUUUUGUAUUUUUAGUAG
RNAcentral lists this long non-coding RNA (916 nucleotides) under Pan troglodytes (chimpanzee). Its description in RNAcentral is "long non-coding RNA NONPTRT005778". Lineage: Eukaryota; Metazoa; Chordata; Mammalia; Primates; Hominidae. The record is from RNAcentral.